This 395-nucleotide unclassified non-coding RNA is filed under the name soil metagenome. RNAcentral describes it as "partial contains 5.8S ribosomal RNA, internal transcribed spacer 2, and large subunit ribosomal RNA". The stretch from base 1 to 122 matches the Rfam family "5.8S ribosomal RNA", at positions 35 to 154 of the family's 154-position model. The record is from RNAcentral.
GAUGAAGAACGUAGCGAAAUGCGAUACUUGGUGUGAAUUGCAGAAUCCCGUGAACCAUCGAGUCUUUGAACGCAAGUUGCGCCCGAAGCCAUCAGGUUGAGGGCACGUCUGCCUGGGCGUCACAUAUCGUUGCCCAAUGCCUAUUGCAGUGCAAUAGGAAUUUCUAGGGCGAGUGAUGGCUUCCCGUGAGCGUUGUUGCCUCGCGGUUGGUUGAAAAUCGAGUCCUUGGUAGGGUGUGCCAUGGUAGAUGGUGGUCGAGUUAGAACGAUACCGAUCAUGUGCAUGCUCCCCAAAAUAUGGCCUCUAUGACCCACACGCGUCUUUUGACGCUCAUGACGAGACCUCAGGUCAGGCGGGGCUACCCGCUGAAUUUAAGCAUAUCAAUAAGCGGAGGA